RNAcentral lists this ribosomal RNA (591 nucleotides) under uncultured archaeon. RNAcentral describes it as "bacterial SSU rRNA". It matches the Rfam family "Archaeal small subunit ribosomal RNA", at positions 1 to 600 of the family's 1478-position model. The record is from RNAcentral.
UCAGGUUGAUCCUGCCGGACCUGACUGCUAUCUGAUUGGUACUAAGCCAUGCGAGUCGUUGUAGCAAUACAAGGCGAACUGCUCAGUAACACGUAGUUAACCUAACCUAUGGAUGGGGAUAACCUCGGGAAACUGAGAAUAAUACCCAAUAGAUCACAGUGCCUGGAAUGGCCUGUGAUUGAAAUGAUUUAUCGCUGUAGGAUGGGACUGCGGCCUAUCAGCUUGUUGGUGAGGUAAUGGCCCACCAAGGCUAUAACAGGUACGGGCUCUGAGAGGAGGGGCCCGGAGAUGGGUACUGAGACACGGACCCAGGCCCUAUGGGGCGCAGCAGGCGAGAAACCUUUGCAAUGUGCGAAAGCACGACAAGGUUAAUCCGAGUGUCUCCUGCUAAAGGAGUCUUUUGUCAGUUGUAGAAUCACUGGCGAAUAAGGGGUGGGCAAGUUCUGGUGUCAGCCGCCGCGGUAAAACCAGCACCUCGAGUGGUCAGGAGGUUUAUUGGGCCUAAAGCAUCCGUAGCCGGUUGCAUAAGUUUUCGGUUAAAUCUAUGCGCUCAACGUAUAGGCCGGCGAAAAUUCUGUGCAGCUAGGGAGU